Molecule: ribosomal RNA, 359 nt
Filed under: Cryptosporidium parvum
Lineage: Eukaryota; Apicomplexa; Conoidasida; Eucoccidiorida; Cryptosporidiidae
Description: SSU rRNA
Rfam family: Eukaryotic small subunit ribosomal RNA
Source: RNAcentral
AGCUCCAAUAGCGUAUAUUAAAGUUGUUGCAGUUAAAAAGCUCGUAGUUGGAUUUCUGUUAAUAAUUUAUAUAAAAUAUUUUGAUGAAUAUUUAUAUAAUAUUAACAUAAUUCAUAUUACUAUAUAUUUUAGUAUAUGAAAUUUUACUUUGAGAAAAUUAGAGUGCUUAAAGCAGGCAUAUGCCUUGAAUACUCCAGCAUGGAAUAAUAUUAAAGAUUUUUAUCUUUCUUAUUGGUUCUAAGAUAAGAAUAAUGAUUAAUAGGGACAGUUGGGGGCAUUUGUAUUUAACAGUCAGAGGUGAAAUUCUUAGAUUUGUUAAAGACAAACUAAUGCGAAAGCAUUUGCCAAGGAUGUUUUCA